This 2004-nucleotide ribosomal RNA is filed under the name Triticum aestivum (bread wheat). RNAcentral describes it as "partial small subunit ribosomal RNA". Lineage: Eukaryota; Viridiplantae; Streptophyta; Magnoliopsida; Poales; Poaceae. The record is from RNAcentral.
AUGCAGCAUCCCGAGCAGGGUGGCGCCGGGUACCCCUACGGGCCGCCGCUUACGGGGAUGGCCCCGUUGUUGCCGCAGCCGGCAUCCGCGGCCGUGCCUGUCAGCAGCAUCCCGUCUCCGACGCCGUCGCCGAUGCAGCCGCAGCCGCAGCCAGCGGGGACGAGCUUCGACCAAUUGCCAGCCGCGCGUGUCAGCAGCAUCCCGUCUCCGACGCCGUCGCCGUCGCCGAUGCAGCCGCCGCCGCAGCCAGCGGGGACGAACUUCGACCAAUUGCCGUCCGCCGGCGCCGUCAGCUUCCACGACGACGAGAACACGCCGGUCGACGGCGGAAGCGGCAGGAGCGGCGGCGACGCGGGGGCGGGAGGGUCCGGCAGCCGGUGGCCGCGGGAGGAGACGGUGGCGCUCAUCAGGAUCCGGUCGGAGAUGGACGGCGCCUUCCGGAACGCCGCCCUCAAGGCCCCCGUCUGGGAGGAGGUCUCCAGGAAGCUUGCGGAGCUGGGCUACCGCAGGAGCGCCAAGAAGUGCAAGGAGAAGUUCGAGAACGUGGACAAGUACUACCGCCGCACCAAGGAAGGCCGCGCCGGGCGCCAGGACGGCAAGAACUACCGCUUCUUCAAGGAGCUCGAAGCGCUCCACGCCGCGGCCCCGCAGCAGAACCAGCACAUGGCGACCGCCGCGCCAAUCUUGCCAGAUCCUCGGCCGUUGGCAAUGGCGCCUGCCUAUCCUGGCGCCGGCCUGCCGGACCUCAGCUUGUCGUCGAAUUCGGAGUCAGAGUCGGACGACGAGUCAGACGAGGAGGAAGACCAGGCGGGCGGCGGCGGCGGCAGGAGCAACGAGAGCAUGAUGGCGCUCUUCGAGGGGAUGAUAAAGCAGAUCACGGAGAAGCAAGACGCGACGCAGCGGCUGUUCCUGGAGACGCUUGAGAAGUGGGAGGCCGACCGCACCGCGCGGGAGGAGGCAUGGCGCCGGCAGGAGCUGGCCCGCAUAAGCCGCGAAAGGGAGCAGCACGCCCGGGAGCGAGCCGCCGCGGCCGCCCGCGACGCCGCCGUGAUCGCGUUCCUCCAGCGCGUCGGCGGGAGCUCCGUGCUGCCCACCCCAAUGCCGGCCCACACAGCGCCUCAUCCCGACGCGCCGGCCUCCUCGCUCCAGCUGGUGGUCGCCGCGCCGGAGGAGGGCGGCCGGCGAGGAGGAGGGGAGAGCAGCGCGGGCAUGUCACGGUGGCCCAAGGAGGAGGUCCAUGCGCUGAUCCAGCUGCGGAUGGAGAAGGACGAGCACUGCCAGGACAUGGGGGCCAAAGGGCCGCUGUGGGAGGACAUCUCCGCCGGCAUGCGGAGGAUCGGCUACAACCGGAGCUCCAAGCGGUGCAAGGAGAAGUGGGAAAACAUCAACAAGUACUUCAAGAAGGUGAAGGAGAGCAACAAGAGGCGCCCCGAGGACUCCAAGACGUGCCCCUACUUCCACCAGCUCGACGCUAUCUACCGCAAGAAGCAAUCUGCCGUGAGCAACGCCGCCGGCGGCUGCUCUAGCACUGCCUCCGGGAACGCUGUGGCCGCGGUCAACGCCUCCGCCUCCGAGCAGCAUAACCCCUGGCGCGAGCUCGAGGGUAAGAUCAGCAACGACUUUGACAGGAGGCACACCGUUGGAGGGGGAAGCUCAGAUGCCCCGCCCGGCGACGGCGAGGUGGCCGCGGCCAGUACCGUGCUUGAUGCCAUCGCUACAACCAAGAAGUCUGAAGACAACGUGAUGGCAAUGGAGUCAAACAUUCAGUCCCAGCAGACGGAGGUGACGGCGACGGACGAGACGGACAGCGACGACAUCGAAGGCAACUACACCGAUGACGGCGACGACGACGACGGCGACGAGGAUGACAAGAUGAAGUACACCAUAGAGUUCCAGAAGCACAAAGAGGGCGGAAGCAGUAGCGCUCCUGCUGCCCCAGCGACAGCUGCGACGGUGGUGACGAGUUCGGCCCCGACAGGCAGGACCUUCCUUGCCGUUCAGUAG